AGUUGUUCAACAGAGGUGAGCUGCAAGUGCCCAGUGAGUUAGAACUUCAACCGUUUCUAUUUCCUCUUUCGCCACAGCACGGAUCUUCUUGUUUUCGUUUUUGUUUUUCUUUCUUAUUUUCUCUUUUAUUCCAUUGUACAAAAUAAUUUUAUAUAUGAUCUUAAAACAUUCUUCUAAACUACAAAUGCAUAAAUGUCUGUGAACAGUAUCUUUUGUGUACAAUUAGGUCCUUAAGUGUUUUUUUUUUAAACAAAGUUUUUCCUUAAAGAGGAGUUUAAAAUUAAAAUUAUUUGUCUAAAUGUUCAAUUUAGACACUGUGCAGAUGCUCUGGAUUGAAGGUAUUCAUAAAAUGGCUAUCACGUUUUGAAUCUUUGAAAAUUUUGGUUAAAUCUGCAGGCAUGUGCUUUUGCAGGAAGGACGCUGGACUCUUGCACUAUAAGUUGAAAACAUCGCUUAUAAACAAUACAUCACAGCACACUUGCAGAGAGAGCACUGGUUCAUCAAAAUAAGAUAUGAUCAAGGUACAAAAGAGUUAAAGAAGCUAUUUAUUUUAAUGUUUCCUUGGAGAGCACACUUGUUAUUGUAUGUAUGCAAAAGAUGAUCUUACUCUUGAGAGCCACUAGAACUCUUUGAAGAAAAAAAAAUGCUAUUUGCUAUAGGGAAAUCUUUCUGGAAAAGUAAUAAUUUCACCUUUGAGUCAGCUUCCCUGGACUCUUGCCUCAUACAUCUUCAGCCAAGGUCAGUCCAUUAUGAAAAUCCACUCUCCCUUCCCCAUGAAAGAACAUUCGAGGCAUACUUAUUAUAUUAACUGAAUUGUUACAUAUGUAUUAAAAGUUUAUAGUAUGUGUUAGCAUUUAUUUAUUUUUUGUAAGAUGUCUUUCCAGGAAUAUAUAACCCUGGUUCAUAAUAUUGUGCCCUUUGUAUCCAAGAUUUGAUAUAUGUGAGUAAACAUACAACUGUCUAUCUGGGGGCAAGUAAAUCGAAAACCAAGAAUCAUCUCAAGUGUUGGAAAUCAUAUGGUAUAGAAUUCAUUACCAUUUGUGAACUGGAAUGGGCAGCAAGAUAUUUGAAUAAAAAUUAAACUAGUUCUAUAAUUGGUGAUUUGAAAUUUUUUGAAAAAGCCACGGCAGUGAAAUAGUUUGGAUGUCCCCUCAAAAUCUCAUGCUGAAUUGUAAUCCCCAGUGUUGGAGGUGGGGACUGGUGGGAGGUGUUUGGGUCACUAUAGUGCGUUUUCAUGAGAUCUGGUCAUUUAAAAUCUGUAGCACCUCCCUCCCCUUCUUGCUCCUGUUUUUUCCAUGUGAAGAUGCCUGCCCCAGCUUUGCCUUCCACCAUGAGUAAAAGCUUCCCAAGUCCUCCCCAGAAGCAGAUGCUGGCGCUAUGCUUCUGGUACAGCCUGAAAAACCUUGAGCCAAUUAAACCUCAGGUAAGUCUUUACAGCAAUGCAAGAAUUGCCUAAUAUAGGCAGGAACAUACAUGUUCCAUGUUCUAUCCUAAACAUGGAAAUGCAGGUAUGUCAUAAAAUAAAACGAUCGGUUAAAACUGAAGAGAUGAAAAGUAACACCUAUAAAUACAUUUCCACUUUUCCACUUUUUCAUUUUGACUUGUCUGAAUGAAUAUUUUUCUUCAUCUAAUGAAUCUAAAUGCAUCUAAUUUGGAAUAAAUUAUCUAUAUUCCCAAUAAAUUCCAUUUAAUUUCAUCUGUUUUUAAAUUUUGUCAAAAGAAGAAAAACAGAAAUCAAGGCCAAGAAAAGAAAAAUUACACACUUAAUAUCAUCAUCCAUUAUUAAAACCUAGGUUGCCAGGCAGAAUACCAUGCCUUAGAGAUUACACUGAGAGUAAAAGAUGAUUAUAGAUUUACACUCAAUAUCUCAUUUAAAGUUUGCUCAUGUUUAGCUAUCCAAAUCUGAUUCCAUAAGACUAUUUUUGUCGCAAGUAACUAUGGUGGCUAUCCUCAAAAGAUCUGUAAGAAAAGCAUUGCAUAGAAUCAGAGAAAAGGUUGAACAAUUUAAUAAAUUGGAAAGCCAAAUCCAACCUAGGAAUCUCAGCAACAGUUAUACAUGGAUGUUCCUUCUGCCUCCCAGAGAUGGCUGCCUGAUACUCAGAUCCCUAAUACUUCUGGGAUCUGAUUGGCUCAGAUUUAAGUUAGGUGUCUAGGUGUCUACCCAAAUUUUCCAGGAGUCUUGCAACAGCAAUUGGCUUCUAAAGCCCACUUUGUUGGUGGAGCUUGGAUUAUCAGAGCAAUUAUGUUGGAAAGCAAUCCCAGUAGAUGUCAUCUAAUUGGUACCAUUUGGACUAGAGGCAAUUAGACGGUUUGCAUAUAUUUUAAAUUAUUAUUGUAGACAUGAAUCUAUUACUGUAUUUUCCACAUUUUGAGUUACUAAAAGGAUUAUAUUCCACAGGCUUUAAUAAAUAGGUGGAUGGAUGAUGAUGAUAACUUUAGUGAUAAUUGAUAAUUGCUUUAGGUUCCAGAUGAUAUUAGAGUAAAUAUAGUAUGCUGUCAUCAGACAUAGAAAAAAAUAGAAAGAAACAGAGCAGAUGAGAGAAGGAGAGAAAGGGAGAGAGCUGAAGCAAUGGAGAUAGAGAGCUAGAAGGAGAUAAUUUUUCUAAAAUUUGUGAAUGGGGCCGGGUGCAGUGGCUCAUGCGUGUAAUCCCAGCACUUUGGGAGAUUGAGGCAGGUGGAUCACCUGAGGUCAGGAGUUCGAGACCAGCCUGGCCAAUGUGCUGAAACCCUGUCUCUACUAAAAAUACAAAAAUUAGCCAGAUGUGGUGGUGGGCACCUGUAAUCCCAGGUACUCGGGAGGCUGAGGCAGGAGAAUCGCUUGAACCUGGGAGGUGGAAGUUGCAGUAAGCCAAGAUCACACCACUGCACUCCAGCCUGAGUGACAAAGCAACACUCCAUCUCGAAAAAAUAAAAUUUGUUAAUGGUUUAAAAAUAAUUAGACUUGGAAGAUUAUCAUGUAAGUUCCAAUUAAACUUAUUUCUAUAUAAGCUGAGCUGAGAACUACAAACAUUAUCAAUACAUAAUAGUAGUUGCCUUUUCGUUGCAUGCUAAGGCUCCCCCGUAAUAUCGGAAGUACUUGAACAGACACAUUUUGUGUAAGGACAUUAAGGGCUCCCAGUAGUUCCUGGCUCCAAAGGCUUGUUUUAAACAAAGGUCAUUAAUGAGUCUCCUGCUCAUGCCACAUAUCAUUCAUAUGUGGCAUGGUUGUAGAACUUCCUAAUCUUUACAAGAACCAAAGAAGCCUGGAAAUGCCCCAUUCAGAAAAAUAUGUUUGAGACUUUGCAAAGCUCCUUUCUCUAAUCCUUAUGAUUUCUUCUUUCACAGUGAGCUCAAGAUGUCUUUGUUGAAACAGAACCUCCCGAAGUUACAGUAUUGGUUUUGGGGCUCCACACAGAGAACACAUCACGGAAGCUAUAAUUGAGGAAGACAAAGCUGUCAGGACGACACCAAGAGAGUUAGAAAGCCCAAGAGUGGAGCAUUCUUCACCAUGAUUCCACCUGACACUUGGCUGAAAGCAUUUUGCACUAAUUUGCUUUGUGCCCGUUCAGACAAUCUAAAAAGAAAGGAUGGGGGGACAACAAGUGUCUAUUACACAGAAUAAACAGCCUCUGGCAAAUGAAUA
This 3622-nucleotide long non-coding RNA is filed under the name Homo sapiens (human). Its description in RNAcentral is "HSALNT0383579". Lineage: Eukaryota; Metazoa; Chordata; Mammalia; Primates; Hominidae. The record is from RNAcentral.